This 301-nucleotide ribosomal RNA is filed under the name uncultured bacterium. Its description in RNAcentral is "partial 16S ribosomal RNA". It matches the Rfam family "Bacterial small subunit ribosomal RNA", at positions 509 to 807 of the family's 1533-position model. The record is from RNAcentral.
CAGUCGCCACGGUAAUACGUAGGUGGCAAGCGUUGUCCGGAAUUAUUGGGCGUAAAGCGCGCGCAAGUGGUUUAAUAAGUCUGAUGUGAAAGCCCACGGCUCAACCGUGGAGGGUCAUUGGAAACUGUUAAACUUGAGUGCAGGAGAGAAAAGUGGAAUUCCUAGUGUAGCGGUGAAAUGCGUAGAGAUUAGGAGGAACACCAGUGGCGAAGGCGGCUUUUUGGCCUGUAACUGACACUGAGGCGCGAAAGCGUGGGGAGCAAACAGGAUUAGAUACCCCAGUAGUCCCUGUCUCUUAUAC